RNAcentral lists this ribosomal RNA (308 nucleotides) under uncultured eukaryote. RNAcentral describes it as "partial 18S ribosomal RNA". It matches the Rfam family "Eukaryotic small subunit ribosomal RNA", at positions 1470 to 1796 of the family's 1831-position model. The record is from RNAcentral.
CCCUUAGAUGUCCUGGGCCGCACGCGUGCUACACUGAUACGUGCAAUAAGUGCUCCUGUUCCGAAAGGCAACGGGUAAUCUAUAAUACGUAUCGUGAUGGGGAUAGAUCCUUGUAAUUAUGGAUCUUGAACGAGGAAUUCCUAGUAAGUGUAAGUCAUUAUCUUACGCUGAUUAAGUCCCUGCCCUUUGUACACACCGCCCGUCGCUCCUACCGAUUUCGAGUGGUCCGGUGAGCCAUUUGGACUAGCCUGUUUCAGGCUGGAAAAUCUAGCGAACCUUAUCACUUAGAGGAAGGAUAAGUCGUANCA